This 253-nucleotide ribosomal RNA is filed under the name uncultured bacterium. RNAcentral's name for it is "partial 16S ribosomal RNA". It matches the Rfam family "Bacterial small subunit ribosomal RNA", at positions 524 to 776 of the family's 1533-position model. The record is from RNAcentral.
UACAGAGGUCUCAAGCGUUGUUCGGAUUCAUUGGGCGUAAAGGGCGCGUAGGCGGCUCGCGAGGUCGGGGGUGAAAUCCCACGGCUUAACCGUGGAAGGGCCUCCGAUACCGGCGGGCUGGAGGAAGGUAGGGGUGCGCGGAACUUCUGGUGGAGCGGUGAAAUGCGUUGAUAUCAGAAGGAACGCCGGCGGCGAAAGCGGCGCACUGGACCUUUUCUGACGCUGAGGCGCGAAAGCCAGGGGAGCAAACGGG